AAAAAGGAUGGUAUUACUGCAAGGGAGUUGGAAAGCAAUGAACUUAUAGUUGCAGAAGAGAUCAUGAGAAUAUUUUUAUGCACUUUUGCAUCCAUAUCAACUCUAUUUUUUUGUUGGAUUACACUCUUUUUUUAUAUUGUUGAGAAAAUGGCAAUUAUUUCAUAAGACAAGAUCUAGAUGCCCUCUUAUGGUGCUUUUCUAAUUCCUGUUUGACUAAUAAUUUGUAUGUGCAUCCUACUUAGAGUGUGUCCUGUGCAAUGGAUUUUUAGGCUGCCACUUGGCUUGCAAGUGUUUCAAAGCCAAACCUACUGAAAAUGUUGCUUUUCAAUUGGGCGCCAAAUAUUUUGUUCAUCUGUCAAUCUAACAGUGUUCUCCUCUAUGGGAUGGGGAAACCCACUUCUGAUAUGAUUUUCUUUUAAGGACUCUAGAGUCUGUGUAUUCUGUAAUUGUUUACCCCGUCGGAUUGAAGACAAUUGGAUCUGAACUGUGCUUCUUGGGCUAAGGACAGUAGAAACAAACCAACUUUAUGAGAAUGU
This 536-nucleotide unclassified non-coding RNA is filed under the name Hevea brasiliensis (rubber tree). Lineage: Eukaryota; Viridiplantae; Streptophyta; Magnoliopsida; Malpighiales; Euphorbiaceae. The record is from RNAcentral.